Molecule: long non-coding RNA, 4154 nt
Organism: Setaria italica (foxtail millet)
Lineage: Eukaryota; Viridiplantae; Streptophyta; Magnoliopsida; Poales; Poaceae
Exons: 6
Source: RefSeq, a predicted model, not a curated record
UUCAUCCUUUUAUUUUCCUAAAAUACUCUUGCGCUUUCUCCUCCGACUCAUGUCGUGCGCACUCCUUCCCCCAAAUCGCAUCACAUUGGCAGCCAACCCCGCACACCUCUGCCGCCCCCACCUUCUCCACCACUCAGAUUCGAUUCAAUCCUCGGCCGAUGUCCUCCAGCAGGUAGUUGUUCCUCUCCUUCGGCAUAUGCUUGGUCGCCGACAGCAACGGGGGUUCACCCAUGAGCGGUGGUGAGAAGGAGAAGGUCAUGCUAGAUCUGGGGUAUCUUGACGUCGUUGAGCCCAAGACGCCGCUGGUGGACGACGACGGCCUCGAGGUCUGCACGGUGGAGCUCGACCUAACACCGGCAGAGGAGGUACUUCUCCAUCAAGCAGAUCUCGGGCCCUUCUCCAUCGAGAAGUUACAGUCUCCUUGUAAUGUGUUGCUUUGGAGUACUCCUACCCAUUGUCCAUCGUGCUGGUUGGGGUCGGGGAUGGCCCCUGGAAGGACAUGCAGAAGUUCGAUGACAAGCUCCCGGCACGUGACUUCGACAACUUCCAGUUCGUCAACUUCACUUCGCUUAUGGAGGUCCCCAUCCAGUACAAGGCCACCGUCGAGCUCGGCAUCCUAGGUCGAACAACUGGGAAAGCUAAGAGGGUUUAGCCGGCGCUGCCGCCACUGCCGCAGAGGCAGUCGUCGUUAAGGAGGGGGAGCAGCAACGUUAGCGCUGCAUCAGUGCCAUCUCUGAGAAAUGAUCAAGUGACAAUGAAAGAAAGGAACAACAAGAAGAAGAUGACAAGACUGUCAUUUUUCUUUUUCUUCUGUUCUGAAUUUUGAGUCUGUAUCUACACUCACAUAUUGGAUCAAUGAUGUCACAACAAAUGCUCUCAUGUCCAUGCAGGUGUGCCCAAUCUACCUGACCAAUGCCAAGGAUCUAGCAUUUGGCUGUGACCACAUGUGUUGCAGGGAAUGUGGGGAGAGCCUCACCAGAUGCCCUAUAUGUCGACAGCCAAAAUAGUGUUUCUUUGUGAAUUUAUAGAGUUUUUGAAGAUACAUGGUGUGAGCAGGUCCUCGAGCCAGUAUUUGGUUGCUAUGUUUAGGAUGCAGAUUGUACAAUACUCCCAUAGUAUUAUCGCAUUUUGUGAGUUCUAGGAUUCUUCAUGAUGUGCAGUCUGACCUAUUCUUCAUUAGUUAGCAAAUUAAUUUAUAUUUACUAUGGUCAUAGGGUGACAAAGAAACCAAACACUUCAGUUAUCCUCACCUGACAUGUGAAAUAUGUUGACCAAAUCACUGCUUUUGUUGUCAUUUCUCUUUGACUAUGCUCUGAUUAGUAAGAAUUAGUUAUUCUGACAUCGAUUUGUCAUGUUUAAGAAACUGAUGUGUUCUCAAAUCAGUCUGUGGAGUAGGUUUCAAAGUGGAGUAUAUUUAAGUCUUGUUUCGUGAGGUGUACUUCUCAAACCUGAAAAUGGCUUAAAGUGCAUGUUUCCUGAACCUUUAUACUCAUGCACAUCUCUGAAUAAUUAACCAGUGGUUACAAUCUCUGAAUAAAAUAAGCAUUAACAUGUUAAUAUAGUAAUAAUGCUCCACACAAUACUCCUCACAAGUCUAAAAUUCUAUUGCAUCUACAGAACCGACGACAACCAUAUUAACUUAAACACAGUAAUACUCCACACCAUUAACAUUACAACACAUUAAUAUCACGCUCAACCAUAAUGAGCUAGAUUUGCCAGUAUACUAUCAUAGAGAUCUUUAUCACAUGACAACCGAUGAGGUAGCCUCCCUUCUCUUUCUAGCCUUAUCUUAUUCAUAUGUGGAUUUCUGUACCUAUUUCCUCCUCCAAUCUUCAUCACCUCCUUCAUGCACAUCUGGAGACUUAGGAACACUCUAUUUAGAUUUUUCACAUCAUAUGCUUCAUACUCUUCCUCCACACCUUGAAUUAGCUCCUCAAUAGUUGUAGGGUUUCUGGAAUCAGUUAAAGACUGGAGGGAUCUGAAGAAACCUAGGUAUAGUACAUUCAAGUCUAGGAAGUUAGGUGGUUGUUGUCUCAAUCAGAUAUCUAGCCCUAUAGCCGCCACAGCUUGAAGGAAGGCUGGAUCAUUUGGACUAACAUGUGUUCUUGCGUUGUCCUGCUGGAUGUAAAUAGUCUCAUGAAUAGCAUCUUGCAGCCACACUGAUUUGAUUGCUGGGAUAACUUUUUCAAUCAGAUAUUGCCUCAUCACCUCCCUAUUGACUAUGAUUGAUUUUGUUUCCAAGGUUCCUCUCUCCCUGUUAUGGAUCCUUCUGGCUGCAGGCACCUCUUUUACAAAUGCCCAUACACCAAUCUUUCCAGAAAAUAUCACAAUCCCUUUAGCAUUACGUCUAGGCCUCGCCACAACUAUUAGGAGCAUGACUUUGCCAAUGCUAUUCUUGUUCUGAAUAGUCCGUUCAGGGUCAUCUUCUUUUGGUAGGAGGUAGUAUUUCCUUGCCUUUUUGUCAUAUAAUACCAUUUCUCAUCCAUGUGGAGUAUAUUUUGCAUGUCAAUGAAUUUAGGUUCAGCAUCCCCUAGAGUUUCCUUAUCUAUCAUUGAAAUGCAAAACUGGAGCCUCUCCCUCUUAUUUCCCUCUUUCAAGUGAGGCUUCAAUGUAUUGGAGUGGCGUCUUAUCAAGCCUAACUAGAACUUCCUGUGUAAUGUCGAAAUACCGACAUCUAGUAACUUAGCUAGUGAUCUUAAGGUGGAUCUUCUAUUUAGUGGGAUUGUGGCCAUUCUAGAGAGCUCAAGUUCAGCUUUCUUGUGACCGCAUCGGCCAAUUCUUUUGUUAGACACAUCAACUUACAGCCCAAGUACAAUUUGCUCCCUUGCAGUCUUCCAAAUCUUUUGAAUAACUCAAAUUUGUGUCUAAAAGAAUGCAACAACUUCCUUUGUUGCAGUCUUUGGUAAUUUCCCAUUUUUACUCUUUGCAUGCAAUGAUAUGUAAGCAGCAAUCUUUGGGCAUCUGUUAGCCAUUUUCUUAACCUCAUCUGUGGUUGUUGUACACCUGCAUUUAUGAAUCUAUGUCUCUUAUAACAUGUUUAUCUCUAUUCAAAUGUCUGAUAAAUCUUUGCUAGUUCAAGUGUUUAGUACUCCAAUAUCUGAUGAAUCUAUGUCUUAUAAUUAAGUUCAUGUUGUACCUGCACCUUCAGCGAGAGCAUUGGCUUCUUCAUCUUGAGCAGGAACAAUGCCUUCAUCCUGAGCCAUAGCAUCAAUUUCCUCAUCAGCUACAUCCUCAACUUCUCCAGGAGCAACACCUUGAUUCUGAGCCAUAGCGUUGCCUUCUUCACCAGCCAAAACCUCGGCGCCUCCUGGUAUGAUUCUGCUAUCUAACUCUACUGAUGGAGUAGAAUUGAGGUCCAGGAGAAGUUGUUGUAGACUUGCAAGGCAAUAACCAAUUACUGAUGGAGUACUUCCCUGGAUCAAUGUUCAGUAUUUCAGCAAGGAGUAAUUUGAAAUAGGAAUUGUUGAGUUUCCUAGGAGAUGAUAAUAGCACCUGCUUCCCCUGGAUUUGUAGAUUAUCAAAGUGGGCAAUUAAGGGAUGCUCUAAAUCUCUAGUUGCACAUAUUACUACUCUAAAUGGAGAAUGGAGCUUGUACCUACAGCUUUAGCGGGAGCAUCGUCUUCCUUGUCAGAUAAUACCUCGCCUCCAGCAAGUACCAAUUCUUCUAGAAUAGCAGAGUUGAGGUCCGGAAGACUUGUUGCCAUGUAUGCAUAUGUAAUUGCCAACUUGUUGCUACAGAUAGAUUGAAGCAAGCUCGGGCUGGUCGGGAGGAUAGCUUUGCUGGAGAUCGCAAGUGUUGGAGCUGCUUGCUUGCUAGAGACACGUCCAGGAAGAGAUCGCUCGUGUUGGAGAUUGCUUGCUUGGUGGAGGCCGCACGUCCAGGAGCUUGCUUGCCGGAGGUCUCGUGUGUAGGAACUUGCUUGCCGCGGAGUCCGGCCGGCCGGCUGGUCGGGAAGUAGUGAUCGAUGGGAGAGUCGCCGCUUGCAUCUGUGGAUCGUGGCGGGUAGAGGGCCGAUGGGUUCAAAAUUUCAAAAUUCAAAUUGCUUGCUGGCUAGCGUGUGCGGGUGAUGGGAGGGUUGGGGGCACCGGGUACAUGUGCUUGUAAAGCUGGAUGGUAUAAUUGAGGGGUAUAAUUGAUCUUAAUAUGAUUGAAA